AUGGUCCGGGGAAAGCUUCCUGUGUUGUUGAACCUGCCCAGUUGUGAGUGCAGCCUCGAACCAAGCAGCCCUACCCUGACCUAAAGUAAAUUCCCAGGAGAAGUUUUUCUUGGGUCUUGAAUUUGCAGCAACAGGUGUGAACAUUCUAGCAGCAGUUUGAUGAUCAUGUAUGAUACUGCAAACAAGA
Myotis lucifugus (little brown bat) is the source of this 187-nucleotide small nucleolar RNA. Ensembl annotates it as small Cajal body-specific RNA 16. The record is from Ensembl. Lineage: Eukaryota; Metazoa; Chordata; Mammalia; Chiroptera; Vespertilionidae.